AACGUAGGGGACAAGCGUUAUCCGGAUUUACUGGGCGUAAAGCGCCCGUAGGCGGCCUGACAAGUUGGACGUGAAAGCUCCUGGCUUAACUGGGAGAGGCCGUUCAAAACUGUCAAGCUAGAGUCUGGAAGAGGAGAGCGGAAUUCCCGGUGUAGUGGUGAAAUGCGUAGAGAUCGGAAAGAACACUCGUGGCGAAGGCGGCUCUCUGGGACGGUACUGACGCUGAGACGCGAAAGCGUGGGGAGCGAACAGG
Molecule: ribosomal RNA, 253 nt
Filed under: uncultured bacterium
Lineage: Bacteria
Description: partial 16S ribosomal RNA
Rfam family: Bacterial small subunit ribosomal RNA
Source: RNAcentral